This 1085-nucleotide ribosomal RNA is filed under the name Pediococcus acidilactici. RNAcentral describes it as "bacterial SSU rRNA". It matches the Rfam family "Bacterial small subunit ribosomal RNA", at positions 15 to 1056 of the family's 1533-position model. Lineage: Bacteria; Bacillati; Bacillota; Bacilli; Lactobacillales; Lactobacillaceae. The record is from RNAcentral.
UAACAUGGCUCAGGAUGAACGCUGGCGGCGUGCCUAAUACAUGCAAGUCGAACGAACUUCCGUUAAUUGAUCAGGACGUGCUGCACUGAAUGAGAUUUUAACACGAAGUGAGUGGCGGACGGGUGAGUAACACGUGGGUAACCUGCCCAGAAGCAGGGGAUAACACCUGGAAACAGAUGCUAAUACCGUAUAACAGAGAAAACCGCCUGGUUUUCUUUUAAAAGAUGGCUCUGCUAUCACUUCUGGAUGGACCCGCGGCGCAUUAGCUAGUUGGUGAGGUAACGGCUCACCAAGGCGAUGAUGCGUAGCCGACCUGAGAGGGUAAUCGGCCACAUUGGGACUGAGACACGGCCCAGACUCCUACGGGAGGCAGCAGUAGGGAAUCUUCCACAAUGGACGCAAGUCUGAUGGAGCAACGCCGCGUGAGUGAAGAAGGGUUUCGGCUCGUAAAGCUCUGUUGUUAAAGAAGAACGUGGGUGAGAGUAACUGUUCACCCAGUGACGGUAUUUAACCAGAAAGCCACGGCUAACUACGUGCCAGCAGCCGCGGUAAUACGUAGGUGGCAAGCGUUAUCCGGAUUUAUUGGGCGUAAAGCGAGCGCAGGCGGUCUUUUAAGUCUAAUGUGAAAGCCUUCGGCUCAACCGAAGAAGUGCAUUGGAAACUGGGAGACUUGAGUGCAGAAGAGGACAGUGGAACUCCAUGUGUAGCGGUGAAAUGCGUAGAUAUAUGGAAGAACACCAGUGGCGAAGGCGGCUGUCUGGUCUGUAACUGACGCUGAGGCUCGAAAGCAUGGGUAGCGAACAGGAUUAGAUACCCUGGUAGUCCAUGCCGUAAACGAUGAUUACUAAGUGUUGGAGGGUUUCCGCCCUUCAGUGCUGCAGCUAACGCAUUAAGUAAUCCGCCUGGGGAGUACGACCGCAAGGUUGAAACUCAAAAGAAUUGACGGGGGCCCGCACAAGCGGUGGAGCAUGUGGUUUAAUUCGAAGCUACGCGAAGAACCUUACCAGGUCUUGACAUCUUCUGCCAACCUAAGAGAUUAGGCGUUCCCUUCGGGGACAGAAUGACAGGUGGUGCAUGGUGUCGUC